UAAAAUAUCUUUUCAAAGGUGGUUUUUGCCAAAAUCGUCUUUAAAAUAAGAUAUUCAAAGUCAGUCUUUAUAAAGGGACUGUCAUAGACAUUUUUUUCCUCGCGCCUGUUCCUCUUCACAUCGCACCCCUUCCUCUCCUCUGGAGUUUACAUACCUAGCUAGGUAGCGCCACUUAAACCCGAGGCUAGCCAGAGAACUAGUUGCAAUGGUCCGCAACAGGUUCUUCCUCAUUCCCUUUCUUUUUCUCAAACCCUAACCUUUUCAAUUUCUUCCCCUUCAUCGUCCAAAACGCAAACCCUAGUACCUCAUUUCAUGAAUCGCUUGAACCCUAGUGUGUCGUUUCGUGAACCACUGUAGCUUCUUCUUCAUUAUCCUCACGUGCAGAGGAAGUUUGAGAAGGGCUUGAAGCACUAGCUUGGAGUCUUUCUCCAACGAAAAGUUCGCAAAGAAGAUUGUAGAUCUUGCACUCAAGUUUCAGCUCUCUGAAGAAAAAAAAUUAAUUGAUGUGCUACGAUGUUGUAGAUACGAUGCCUAUGGUGGAGAUCCCACUAGCGUCAAGCUUCCAUAUGUUUGAGAAGGCCCAUAAAAUGGAUCAAACAUCAAGUGGGCGUGGUGUUCGUUAGUUCAAGAGUUACCUAUUGCACAAACAGGAAAAGCCAUAGCAGAUUCUCGCUUGAUUAUCAUAUAUUGGAUACAGAAGCACCAAAGCAAUGUGAUUGAAGGUGAGUUUAUGCCCAAUUUGACCUUUUAUGUGUAUCCAUUUACCUUAUUUUCUCGUUUGCCUUAAUGACUGUACUGUGAAUGAUAGGUUAAGGAACUAGCCCUAUUAGUAAUUUUCUAUCCAAUGAAAAUGGGAAUUUUCUAUCCUUCUAUGGUGAGGUGGAAGAUGGUGAAUUAAGAGCGUGCUUGAGCAAUGGUACAGUUUUGUUCUAGAUAGUGAACAAGCUACGACAUGGUACCGUGAAUUUGGCUGAAGAUGCUAAAGCAGAACUCACACAGAAGGCCCAAGAAUAUGAGAAUCAAUUGAAAUCAUUAAGAAAUAAGGUGAUGGAAUCGUGGCUUGCUUAUGCACCCGUGAAGAAUAAUGCUGAGGAUGCUGUUAAGGUACAACAUAAAUUCUAAUGUAUUAAUUUACACAUCGAGAAACAAAGUUGAUAAAAAGAAAUAGAGGGAGUAUGACUUUUUAGCCCUUGAUUUCAUAUUGAAGUGUAAGAACUAUGCAGUACUUAAUUGAAGUAGAUUGGUAAGGUAUGACCAAGAAGAUUGGAUGUAAUUGGGAAAUUUGGAUUUGAAAUGCUAUUUUGAUGGUAGUGGU
This is a long non-coding RNA of Glycine soja, 1315 nucleotides long. RefSeq lists it as uncharacterized. Lineage: Eukaryota; Viridiplantae; Streptophyta; Magnoliopsida; Fabales; Fabaceae. The record is from RefSeq and is a predicted model, not a curated record. The transcript is spliced from 6 exons.